CAACAAAAUAUACUUUUUCCUAGGUAAUGAGCACAGCAAAUUAUAGAAUUACUAAAAUGCCCUUUGGUGUGCAAUCCAAAGUUUGUUACUGGCCCUAAUUGUCCCCAAACGCAGCAAACCCUAAACCCCCAGCCUCCAUUCUCCCUCGCUUCCUUCUGUCUCUCUGAUCCCGCUCCGUCGCGUUUCUUGCUUCACAGCUUCAGUCUCUUUCCUUCCUCCCGUCGUCGACUCCCGUCGCGCGGUCUUGUCCCUUGCUUCGGCUGCGUCGUUCUUCCGUCGUUUCCUCAGUUCGGGAAUACGCAUGGCUUGAUUUAAUGACUGAAAUAUGCAUGGCCAACUCAAUUUCACCGGCCACGAAAUGGAGUUCUAUACCAAUUCGCAACUGGUGCUUACGAAAUUGGGGGAACAGCAGCAGACAUUUCAACUUCGUGGCUGCCACAAAGGAGAUGAGGCACAUCAAGGACGGCGCACACGAAUUGGGCGAUCUCAAGCCCACCGGCCACGAAAUUGGCCAAUUAGCUGGCGGCGACCACGAAGUGGGAAGGUUCGUUGCUGGCGCCCACGAGUUGGCUGUUCUAAACGACAGCAGCAGCAAGCUCACAUGCAUUGGCUGUGUCGGGUGACAGGGGACAGUUGGAAAGGGAGCCAAGAGUGGUAUAAAAGAGGGGUGGGGAGAGCUUUCAUGCACGGUUAAAUUGGAAGAGGGGUAAGAAAAAAAAAGUGGUUAGCAUGGUAAAUGAAACCUGAGAGGAGGUGAGCUUCAAUAAAAAAAUUAACUUAAUAUGAGUGGGGGUGGGGUGAACAUGGAGGAGAACUUGAACCGGCUGGACGAACAUUAUAUAGCGGCACAUUUAUUCCAUAAGGUUUGUUUACGCCAUUAAUCCGAUUGCUAUUGUUAGAGAUUGUUAGUAAUAUUUUUUCGAUAUUUACCUUUUUUACAGAGUAUUUGUAACUGUUGUCUUUCUUGGCUUCUUAUGUUGUAGCUCACACGUGUUCUUACUCCUCAUUGCACGCUCGUUGAUGUUUUCAUGUUAGAGCCUAGGAUCCAACCAUGGAAAUUAGGCGGGAAAGGCUCCACCUUUGUUUGAGACGCACUGGAUUUUAUCAUGCCUCUUUGAUCAAGCGCUUCGAGUACGACAAUCAACUUAUUAGUGCCUUUGUGUAACGGUGGCGUCCGGAGACGCAUAGGUUUCAUCUCCCUUGGGGUGAGUGUACCAUAACUCUGGAGGAUGUAGCCAUGCAGCUAGGUCUAGAAGUUCAUGACACAAUUUCCAAAUAUCUCUCUGAUGAAACUUACUCCAUGACCUCAACGUCUAACAGGCUGACCAUCAUCAUUCCCAAAUAUUUCUCUGAUAAAACUUACUCCAUGACCUUAACGUACCGCUAGGUAGACCUAGCUGCAUGGCUACAUCCUCCAGAGUUAUGGUACACUCACCCCAAGGGAGAUGAAACCUAUGCGUCUCCGGAUGCCACCGUUCCACAAAGGCACUAAUAAGUGGAUUGUCGUACUCGAAGCGCUUGAUCAAAGAAGCAUGAUAAAAUCCAAAUCCAGUGCGUCUCAAACAAGGGUCGAGCCUCUCCCGCCUAAUUUCCAUGGUUGGAUCCCAGGCUCUAACAUGAAAACAUCAACGAGUGUGCAAUGAGGAGUAAGAACACGUGUGGGCUACAACAUAAGAAGCCAAGAAAGACAACAGUUACAAAUACUCUGUAAAAAAGGUAAAUAUCGAAAAAAUAUUACUAACAAUCCCUAACAAUAGCAAUCGGAUUAAUAGCGUAAACAAACCUUAUGGAAUAAAUGUGCCGCUAUAUGAUUGUUCGUCCAACCGGUUCAAGUUCUCCUCCACGUUCACCACACCCCCAAUCAUAUUAAGUUAAUUUUUUUUAUUGAAAAACUCACUACCAGAAGCUCACCUCCUCUCAGGUUUCAUUUACCAUGCUAACCACUUUUUUUUCCUACCCCUCUUCCAAUUUAACCGUGCAUGAAAGCUCUCCCCACCCCUCUUUUAUACCACUCUUGGCUCCCUUUCCAACUGUCCCCUAUCACUCGACAUAGCCAAUGCAUGUGAGCUUGCUGUUGCUGCCGUUUAGAACAGCCAACUCGUGGGCGCCAGCAACGAACCUCUCCACUUUGUGGUCGCCGCCAGCUAAUUGGCCAAUUUCGUGGCCGGUGGGCUUGAGAUCGCCCAAUUCGUGUACGCCGUCUUUGAUGUGCCUCAUCUCUUUUGUGGUAGCCAUGAAGUUGAAAUGCCUGCUACUGUUCCCCCCAUUUCGUGGGCGUUAGUUGCGAGUUGGUAUGGAACUCCAUUUCGUGAGUGGUAAAGUUGAGUUGGUCAUGCGUAUUCCAGUCAUUAAAUCAAGAUUCCU
Molecule: non-coding RNA, 2364 nt
Organism: Arachis ipaensis
Lineage: Eukaryota; Viridiplantae; Streptophyta; Magnoliopsida; Fabales; Fabaceae
Source: RefSeq, a predicted model, not a curated record